CAUCAAGCUACGUCAAUGGGGGUUUAUAAAAAUCAGACGAGGUUUCUGAAGCUUCUCUUCGAAACCCUAGGAAGAAGCCCCCAGCUCAAAGAGAAACCCCGAUGUCACCCACAGUCGCGAUACUCAUAAUGCUAGCGAUGGUACUGACAACAACGUUCUGGAGGCAUUUCCGGUGGAGCUAUUGAGCUUUUUUCUCCUUGAGUGUCAGGCUGCUAACGAUGUGUGGAUUUCUUCGCUCGAGUUAGAAUCCGUGAAAGUGUUGUACUUUAUCGGGUUUGGGAAAUGACGACAAGCUACAGAAAACGUUCAGAGGCAGCUGCUAUGCUGAACUUAUUAUUUGCACGUCAGUCUGAUCCCUUGUUAACGUUAUAAUUCUCAUUUCCAUGUUUCUAAAUGUUAAGACUUGUCGUUGGCUUGUUACUUUUAUUGUUUUUUGAACAUUCACAAUGAAAAAGAUAUUUAUCCUUUCAUGUUUUCUUAUUUUCUUAGCUCCAAAAUCUUUUAUGUUUUGGAAUGAGAAAUGUGUUGUGCAUCCAAGCGACUAUUUUACUUCAUUGAGUUUGGGAAAUGAUGACAAGCUACAGUAUACUUUCAGAGGCAUUUGCUAUGCUGAACUUGUUAUUUGCACGUCAGUCUGAUCCCUUGUUGUUAAUCUUAUAUUUCUCGUUUCCAAGCUUCUAAAUCUUAAGACUUGUAGCUACUUUGCUCCUCCUACCCGGAAAAGUUACAUGCCACUUAAGCCAUUUGGUUGA
This is a long non-coding RNA of Cucurbita moschata (crookneck pumpkin), 752 nucleotides long. RefSeq lists it as uncharacterized. The transcript has 2 exons. The record is from RefSeq and is a predicted model, not a curated record. NCBI's taxonomy places the organism in Eukaryota, Viridiplantae, Streptophyta, Magnoliopsida, Cucurbitales, Cucurbitaceae.